This 567-nucleotide long non-coding RNA is filed under the name Homo sapiens (human). RNAcentral describes it as "novel transcript, antisense to CEACAM6". The record is from RNAcentral. Lineage: Eukaryota; Metazoa; Chordata; Mammalia; Primates; Hominidae.
AAAAAGUAGACACCUGCACAGGUGUAGGAUGACUGAGCAGCAGCAGAAGCAGGAAAAGUCAGCGUCCCCAGAUCAGCUGAUACGGGGUUCAGCUUCUACAUAGGGGUGAGGUGCCAGGACGGUGACGGGGGUCCUGUGGCUCUGCUGCUCUGGGGAACACCCCUAGGAUUUGGAGCAUCUGCUAUGGUUGCUGCACUUCACUCGUCCGUGGGAAAGGGACCGGAAGGUGUGGGACUUCACGUGACCCAACGUGGGAAACCACCAAGGGAAUUUGGGAUGGGUGGCACAUGUUUUUUUUUUUAUUUUACCCAAUAUUUGAAGGUGGGUUGUACAAAGAAGUAUUAGACUUAUUUCAGCCUAUGGAGGACACAGGACAAGGAUUGACCAGAAUCUCCACUUCUGAGCUGCGGAUGCACAAGACAAAAGGAAGUGAACCCAUGACUGGCCUCAGAUGCAGAUGCCUAACAACAAACAGCCCCAUCACCCCCGGUUGAGGAGAGGAGGGGGCUGUGGCUGCAGACAGACCUCAUAUGUCUCUAAUCUGCCACCUAUGGCCUGUGUGACCCU